RNAcentral lists this ribosomal RNA (910 nucleotides) under uncultured bacterium. Its description in RNAcentral is "bacterial SSU rRNA". It matches the Rfam family "Bacterial small subunit ribosomal RNA", at positions 33 to 934 of the family's 1533-position model. The record is from RNAcentral.
ACGCUGGCGGCAGGCUUAACACAUGCAAGUCGAGCGGUAACAGGGAUUAGCUUGCUAAUUUGCUGACGAGUGGCGGACGGGUGAGUAAUGCUUGGGAAUCUGGCUUAUGGAGGGGGAUAACUACGGGAAACUGUAGCUAAUACCGCGUAAUAUCGGAAGAUUAAAGGGUGGGACUUUCGAGCCACCUGCCAUAAGAUGAGCCCAAGUGGGAUUAGGUAGUUGGUUAGGUAAAGGCUGACCAAGCCGACGAUCUCUAGCUGGUCUGAGAGGAUGACCAGCCACACUGGAACUGAGACACGGUCCAGACUCCUACGGGAGGCAGCAGUGGGGAAUAUUGCACAAUGGGGGGAACCCUGAUGCAGCCAUGCCGCGUGAAUGAAGAAGGCCUUCGGGUUGUAAAGUUCUUUCGGUGACGAGGAAGGUUGAUAGGUUAAUAGCCUAUCAAAUUGACGUUAAUCACAGAAGAAGCACCGGCUAACUCCGUGCCAGCAGCCGCGGUAAUACGGGGGGUGCGAGCGUUAAUCGGAAUAACUGGGCGUAAAGGGCACGCAGGCGGUGACUUAAGUGAGAUGUGAAAGCCCCGAGCUUAACUUGGGAAUUGCAUUUCAUACUGGGUCGCUAGAGUACUUUAGGGAGGGGUAGAAUUCCACGUGUAGCGGUGAAAUGCGUAGAGAUGUGGAGGAAUACCGAAGGCGAAGGCAGCCCCUUGGGAAUGUACUGACGCUCAUGUGCGAAAGCGUGGGGAGCAAACAGGAUUAGAUACCCUGGUAGUCCACGCUGUAAACGAUGUCGAUUUGGGGAUUGGGCUUUGAGCUUGGUGCCCGUAGCUAACGUGAUAAAUCGACCGCCUGGGGAGUACGGCCGCAAGGUUAAAACUCAAAUGAAUUGACGGGGGCCCGCACAAGCGGUG